RNAcentral lists this ribosomal RNA (930 nucleotides) under uncultured bacterium. RNAcentral's name for it is "bacterial SSU rRNA". It matches the Rfam family "Bacterial small subunit ribosomal RNA", at positions 12 to 917 of the family's 1533-position model. The record is from RNAcentral.
UUUGAUCCUGGCUCAGAACGAACGCUGGCGGCGUGCUUAACACAUGCAAGUCGAACGAGAAAGUUUCCUUCGGGAAGCGAGUAGAGUGGCGCACGGGUGAGUAACGCGUAGGUAAUCUAUCCUAAUAUUUGGGAUAACAUCGGGAAACUGGUGCUAAUACCGGAUACCCUUCAUUUCUGCCGGGUUAUGGAGGAAAGGUGGCCUCUUCAUGAAAGCUACCGUAUAAGGAUGAGCCUGCGUACCAUUAGCUAGUAGGUGGGGUAAUGGCCCACCUAGGCAACGAUGGUUAGCGGGUCUGAGAGGAUGAUCCGCCACACUGGAACUGGAACACGGACCAGACUCCUACGGGAGGCAGCAGUGAGGAAUAUUGCGCAAUGGGGGAAACCCUGACGCAGCGACGCCGCGUGAGUGAGGAAGGUUUUCGGAUCGUAAAGCUCUGUCAGAAGGGAAGAAGUGUUAUAUGGUUAAUACCCGUAUAAUUUGACGGUACCUUCAGAGGAAGCACCGGCUAACUCCGUGCCAGCAGCCGCGGUAAUACGGAGGGUGCAAGCGUUGUUCGGAAUUACUGGGCGUAAAGGGCGCGUAGGCGGCCUGCUAAGUCAGAUGUGAAAGUCCACGGCUCAACCGUGGAAGUGCAUUUGAAACUGUCAGGCUUGAGUAUCGGAGGGGAAAGUGGAAUUCCCGGUGUAGAGGUGAAAUUCGUAGAGAUCGGGAGGAACACCGGUGGCGAAGGCGACUUUCUGGACGAAUACUGACGCUGAGGCGCGAAAGCGUGGGGAGCAAACAGGAUUAGAUACCCUGGUAGUCCACGCCGUAAACGAUGUGAACUAGGGAUAGGGGGUGUUGAUCCCUCCUGUCCCGGAGCUAACGCAUUAAGUUCACCGCCUGGGGAGUACGGUCGCAAGAUUAAAACUCAAAGGAAUUGACGGG